Molecule: unclassified non-coding RNA, 391 nt
Filed under: soil metagenome
Description: partial contains 5.8S ribosomal RNA, internal transcribed spacer 2, and large subunit ribosomal RNA
Rfam family: 5.8S ribosomal RNA (bases 1-122)
Source: RNAcentral
GAUGAAGAACGUAGUGAAAUGCGAUACUUGGUGUGAAUUGCAGAAUCCCGUGAACCAUCGAGUUUUUGAACGCAAGUUGCGCCCGAAGCCAUUAGGCCGAGGGCACGCCUGCCUGGGCGUCACACGUCGUUGCCCCCCCAUCUACUCCUUCGGGAUUGCGGGGGGCGGAUGAUGGCCUCCCGUGCGCCUCGCCGCGCGGUUGGCAUAAAUGCCAAGUCCUCGGCGACGCACGCCACGACAAUCGGUGGUUGCGAAACCUCGGUUGCCCGUCGUGUGCGGUCGUCGCGCAUCGAGGGCUCGAAAAAAUUGCCGGGUUCCGGCUCGGCUUUCAACGCGACCCCAGGUCAGGCGGGGUUACCCGCUGAAUUUAAGCAUAUCAAUAAGCGGAGGA